This 527-nucleotide ribosomal RNA is filed under the name uncultured bacterium. RNAcentral's name for it is "bacterial SSU rRNA". It matches the Rfam family "Bacterial small subunit ribosomal RNA", at positions 20 to 518 of the family's 1533-position model. The record is from RNAcentral.
UGGCUCAGGACGAACGCUGGCGGCGUGCCUAAUACAUGCAAGUCGAACGGUCUUUCUAUGGAAGCUUGCUUCCACUGAGAAGAUAGUGGCGAACGGGUGAGUAACACGUGGGUAACCUGCCCAUAAGAGGGGGGAUAACAUCCGGAAACGGGUGCUAAUACCGCAUAGUUUUCUUGAUCGCAUGAUUGAGAAAGGAAAGACGGCCUUUGUGCUGUCGCUUAUGGAUGGACCCGCGGCGUAUUAGUUAGUUGGUGAGGUAACGGCUCACCAAGACGAUGAUACGUAGCCGACCUGAGAGGGUGAUCGGCCACAUUGGGACUGAGACACGGCCCAAACUCCUACGGGAGGCAGCAGUAGGGAAUCUUCCGCAAUGGACGAAAGUCUGACGGAGCAACGCCGCGUGAGUGAAGAAAAGGUUUUCGGAUCGUAAAACUCUGUUGUCAGAGAAGAACAAGUUGGAGAGUAACUGCUCCAGCCUUGACGGUAUCUGACCAGAAAGCCACGGCUAACUACGUGCCAGCCGCCGC